GACGAAUGCUGGCGGCGUGCCUAAUACAUGCAAGUAGAACGCUGAAGGAGGAGCUUGCUUCUCUGGAUGAGUUGCGAACGGGUGAGUAACGCGUAGGUAACCUGCCUGGUAGCGGGGGAUAACUAUUGGAAACGAUAGCUAAUACCGCAUAAUAGUAGAUGUUGCAUGACAUUUGCUUAAAAGGUGCAAUUGCAUCACUACCAGAUGGACCUGCGUUGUAUUAGCUAGUUGGUGGGGUAACGGCUCACCAAGGCGACGAUACAUAGCCGACCUGAGAGGGUGAUCGGCCACACUGGGACUGAGACACGGCCCAGACUCCUACGGGAGGCAGCAGUAGGGAAUCUUCGGCAAUGGACGGAAGUCUGACCGAGCAACGCCGCGUGAGUGAAGAAGGUUUUCGGAUCGUAAAGCUCUGUUGUAAGAGAAGAACGAGUGUGAGAGUGGAAAGUUCACACUGUGACGGUAUCUUACCAGAAAGGGACGGCUAACUACGUG
Molecule: ribosomal RNA, 495 nt
Filed under: uncultured bacterium
Lineage: Bacteria
Description: partial 16S ribosomal RNA
Rfam family: Bacterial small subunit ribosomal RNA
Source: RNAcentral